This 403-nucleotide ribosomal RNA is filed under the name uncultured bacterium. Its description in RNAcentral is "bacterial SSU rRNA". It matches the Rfam family "Bacterial small subunit ribosomal RNA", at positions 975 to 1375 of the family's 1533-position model. The record is from RNAcentral.
CAGCCCUUGACUUGUGACUCGCCGGCUCCAGAGACGGAGCCUUCGGUUCGGCCGGAGUCAACACAGGUGCUGCAUGGCUGUCGUCAGCUCGUGUCGUGAGAUGUUGGGUUAAGUCCCGCAACGAGCGCAACCCUCGUCUCCAGUUGCCAUCAGGUAAUGCUGGGCACUUUGGAGAAACUGCCGGUGACAAGCCGGAGGAAGGUGGGGAUGACGUCAAGUCCUCAUGGCCCUUACGGGCUGGGCUACACACGUGCUACAAUGGCGGUGACAGUGGGAUGCGAAGGGGCGACCCGGAGCCGAUCCUAAAAAGCCGUCUCAGUUCGGAUUGCACUCUGCAACUCGAGUGCAUGAAGGUGGAAUCGCUAGUAAUCGAGGAUCAGCAUGCCUCGGUGAAUACGUUCCC